AUUGAACGCUGGCGGUAGGCCUAACACAUGCAAGUCGAACGCGAAAGUCCUUCGGGAUGAGUAGAGUGGCGGACGGGUGAGUAACGCGUAGGAAUCUAUCCUGUAGUGGGGGAUAACGUUUCGAAAGGAACGCUAAUACCGCAUACGCCCCAAGGGGGAAAGCGGGGGAUCUUCGGACCUCGUGCUAUAGGAGGAGCCUGCGUCGGAUUAGCUAGUUGGUGAGGUAAAAGGCUCACCAAGGCGACGAUCCGUAGCUGGUCUGAGAGGAUGAUCAGCCACACCGGAACUGAGACACGGUCCGGACUCCUACGGGAGGCAGCAGUGGGGAAUAUUGCGCAAUGGGCGAAAGCCUGACGCAGCCAUACCGCGUGUGUGAAGAAGGCCUUCGGUU
This 391-nucleotide ribosomal RNA is filed under the name uncultured bacterium. Its description in RNAcentral is "bacterial SSU rRNA". It matches the Rfam family "Bacterial small subunit ribosomal RNA", at positions 30 to 423 of the family's 1533-position model. The record is from RNAcentral.